Molecule: long non-coding RNA, 331 nt
Organism: Vicia villosa (hairy vetch)
Lineage: Eukaryota; Viridiplantae; Streptophyta; Magnoliopsida; Fabales; Fabaceae
Exons: 2
Source: RefSeq, a predicted model, not a curated record
AUUUAUAAAGGGGUCAAGUAAUUUUAUUUCUUACAUACAAAAUAAAAAACAUAUAUGACUCAAAUAAUUAUGUUUUAUUAUGCUUUGAUCGUCUUUCUUUCAUUAUUUCUUGUUGUAACGAGUAGAACUCGCAUUCCUUGUGUUUCUGAUGAUGGUUGUCCAAAGUUCACUUAUCCUUCAUUUGUGAUAUGUAUUUUCAAUUUUUGUGAGAUAUGGAGAUUGCAGUAACAAUUAAGUCUUCAAAUAAUUAUGUUACAUUUAAGAAUAAAAUUGUAUUUGUAUAUCUUAAUGUUGUUCUUUUAUAAUUUACAUUAAAAAAAAUUGAUUUUUA